GAUGUUGGUCCUAAGAGCCAGGGGUGAAGAGGGGCUGGCUCUCUGUCCCCUCGUCGCGGGGGUUGCUUCCCCCCCUGCGAUGGAGGUCCCAAGAGCCAAGGGGGGAAGAGGGGCUGGCUCUCAGUCCCUGCCUCGCGGGGGUGCCUCCCGCCCUGGGAUGGGGAUCCAAAGAGCCAGGGGGGUAAAAAGGGCUGGCUCUCAGUCCCCGCCUCACAGAGGGUGCCUCCCCCCCCCGCGAUGGGAGUCCCAAGAAUCAGGGGGCGAAGAGAGGCUGGCUCUCAGCCACCACAAAAUGGGGGGCCUUUAUGUUCAGGUUUUGCCCAAGAGUCAGCUCAUUUGCUUCUUGUACUAGCAGGGGAGUUGCUGCCAAGGCCCUCAAACAGGGGGGCCAUCCUUUAGAAACCCUGUCUAGUUGUUCAGAGACAUAGGCCACCGGCCUCAUCCAAGGCCCCACAGUUUGGGUUAAAAGUCCACCUGCCAUCUUUUCUCUCUCUGACGCAUACAAUGGAAAAGGUUUUGUCAGAUCGGGUAACCCCAGGGCUGAAGCUGCCAGAAGUUUUUCCUUUAACUCAUGAAAGACUUGCUGUUGUUAGGAUCCCCAUUCCAAAGGUUCCCGGUCCCCGCCCCCUUUGUGACCUCAUACAAAGGCUUGGCUUAUAUUGCAAAGUUUGGGAUCCACAGUCUACAAAACCCCACAGCUCCUGAGAAUUCUCUCGCCUGCCUUUGGCCCUUAGGCUCUGGUAGAUUGCAAAUAACAUGCUUUCUUUCUGUUCCCGGGUGGCUUCGGACCCCUGUCGGAUCGGAAAUCCCAAGGAGGCGUCGGACCCCGUCCGAUAGUAAAUCCCAAGUAAGGUACCUGCCGUCGGCAGAUUUGAGCUUUCUGCCUGGACACCUAAUACCCACAGUCCUCCAGGUGGGUCCUAAGGUUCUUAGGAUCCACGAUGGGUGUCCUAAGCCAGCGGGGGAAGAGUGGCUGGCUCUCAGUCCCCACCUCGCGGGUGGUGCCUCCCGCCUCUGAGAUGGUGGUCCUAAGAGCCAGGUGGUGAAGAGGGGCUGGAACUCAGUCCCCGCCUCGUGGGGGCUGCCUCGCCCCGCUGCCAUGGGUUUCCGAAGAGCCAGGGGUGGAAGACGGGCUGGCUCUCAGUCCCCGCCUCGCGGGGGUGCCCUCCCCAGGUGCGAUGGGGGUCCUAAGAGCCAGGGGGUGAAGAAGGGCUGUCUCUCUGUCCCCUCGUUGCAGGGUUUGCAUCCCCCCUCUUGAGAUGGCCGUCCCAAGAGCCAAGGGGGGAAAGGGGCUGGCUCUCAGUCCCCGCUUCGCGGGGGUGCCUCCCCCACUGCGAUGGGGGUCCCAAGAUUCGGGGGGGAAGAGGGCCUGGCUGUCAGUACCCGCCUCGCGGGGGGUGCCUUCCCACCCUGCGAUGGGGGUCCCAAGUGUCAGGGGGGGAAUACGGGCUGGCUCUCAAUCCUCGGCUCGCGGGGGCUGCCUCCCCCUACUGCGAUGGGGGUCCUAAGAGCCAGGGGGGAAGAGGGGCUGGUUCUCAGUCCCUGCCUCAUGGGCGGUGCCUCCCGCUCUGCGAUGGGGGUCCUAAGAGCCAGCGGGGGAAGAGGUGCUGGCUCUCAGUUCCUGCCUGGCGGGGGGUGCCUCCCCCCCUCUGCGGUGGGUGUCCUAAGAGCCAGGGGGGGAAGAGGGGCUGGCUGUCAGUCCCCGCCUCGCGGGGUGUGCCUCCCGCCCCUGCGAUGGUGAUCCCAAGAGUCUGGGGGGGAAGAGGGGGCUGUCAGUCCCCGCCUCGCGGGGGUGCCUCCCUCAGGUGCGAUGUGGGUCCUAAGAGCCAGGGGUGAAGAGGGGCUGGCUCUCUGUCCUCUCGUCGCGGGGGUUGCAUCCCCCCCUGCGAUGGGGUUCCCAAGAACCAAGGGGGGAUGAGGGGCUGGCUCUCAGUCCCCGCCUCGUGGGGGUGCCUCCCCCCCUGGGAUGGGGGUCCCAAGAGCCAGGGGGGGAAGAGGGGCUGGCUCUCAGUCCCCGCCUCGCGGAGGGUGCCUCCCCCCCAACGCGAUGGGGGUCCCAAGAGCCAGUGGGGGAAGAGGGGCUGGCUCUCAGCCACCACAAAACGGGGGGCCUUUAUGUUCAGGUUUUGCCCAAGAGUCAGCUUAUUUUCUUCUUGUACUAGCAGGGCAGUUGCUGCCAAGGCCCCCAAACAGGGUGCCAUCCUUUAGAAACCCUGUCUAGUUGUUUAGAGACGUAGGCCACCGGCCUCUUCCAGGGCCCCACAGUUUGGGUUAAAAGUCCACCCGCCAUCUUGUCUCUCUCUGACGUGUACAAUCUAAAAGGCUUUGUCAGAUUGGGUAGCCCCAGGGCUGAAGCUGCCAGAAGUUUUUCCUUUAACUCAUGAAAGACUUGCUGUUGUUGGGAUCCCCAUUCCAAAGGUUCCCGGUCCCCGCCCCCUUUGUGACCUCAUACAAAGGCUUGGCUUAUACUGCAAAGUUUGGGAUCCACAGUCUACAAAACCCCACAGCUCCUGAGAAUUCUCUCGCCUGCUUUCGACCCUUAGGCUCUGGUAGAUUGCAAAUAACCUGCUUUCUUUCUGUUCCCGGGCGGCGUGGGACCCCUGUCGGAUAGUCAAUCCCAAUUAAGGUACCCGCCGUCGGCAGAUUUGAGCUUUCUUCUUGGACACCUAAUACCCACAGUCCUCCAGGCUCUGGUAGAUUGCAAAUGACCUGCUUACUUUCUGUUCCCGGGCUGCGUUCUGACACCUGUUGGACAGUAAAUCCCAAGUAAGGUACCUGCCUUCGGCAGAUUUGAGCUUUCUUCUUGGACACCUAUACCCACAGUCCUCCAGGAGGGUCCUAAGGAUAACUUCAGGAAGUGGGUAUUAAUUCUCACUGUAUAAGUGAAGACAUUAAGCACCAGAGUUUAAGUAGCUUGAUCCACUGAAAGAGAUUCAACUGUGUGGAACCUAUGCCGCGGAGAAUUGCUUUCUGCCAUUGUUAUUGUCCAGCAGUUGCCGAAUAGCUCUGACCUGAGCAAAGCAGUGAAACGCGGUGCUGUUGAGUGGGUUGCCACUGCACCUUUUUCAACUACUCUAGUCUUGUGGAGAAAACACCCCUUCUAAAUUUUUUCUUCAUUGAAUACUCUCCCUCAGCUCCAGGGUACCAUAUAGAGUUUUCUUGUAUUUUAGAGUUACUGUUUUAUCAAAGUGUACCAGUCUUUUGUAUUACAUUUCUCCUGUCU
RNAcentral lists this long non-coding RNA (3223 nucleotides) under Homo sapiens (human). RNAcentral describes it as "non-protein coding LINC00355:10". The record is from RNAcentral. Lineage: Eukaryota; Metazoa; Chordata; Mammalia; Primates; Hominidae.